UGUAAGCACAUGCCUUAAAACGGUAAAGCCGCGAAUGGCUCGGUAUAACAGCCACUGUUUAUUAAACUCUAGUAAUCUACUUGGAUAACUGUGGCAAUUCUAGAGCUAAUACAUGCACGCAGGCUCGGACCUUUUGGGAAGAGCGCAUUUAUUAGACCAAAACCAAUCGGGCUUCGGCCUGUGUUUUGGUGACUCUGAAUAACUCAGUCGAUCGCACAGUCUUAGUACUGGCGACGUAUUUUUCAAAUGUCUGCCUUAUCAACUUUCGAUGGUAGGUUAUACGCCUACCAUGGUUAUAACGGGUAACGGAGAAUUAGGGUUCGACUCCGGAGAGGGAGCCUGAGAAAUGGCUACCACAUCCAAGGAAGGCAGCAGGCGCGCAAAUUACCCAAUCCCAGAACGGGGAGGUAGUGACGAAAAAUAACGAGGUAAUCCACUUUGUGGCUUGCCAUCGGAAUGGGCACAAUAUAAA
This 472-nucleotide ribosomal RNA is filed under the name unidentified nematode Sourhope farm. Its description in RNAcentral is "SSU rRNA". It matches the Rfam family "Eukaryotic small subunit ribosomal RNA", at positions 58 to 529 of the family's 1831-position model. Lineage: Eukaryota; Metazoa; Nematoda. The record is from RNAcentral.